This 1921-nucleotide long non-coding RNA is filed under the name Cairina moschata (Muscovy duck). RNAcentral's name for it is "domestica (muscovy Duck (domestic type)) lncRNA (ENSCMMG00000005233.1)". Lineage: Eukaryota; Metazoa; Chordata; Aves; Anseriformes; Anatidae. The record is from RNAcentral.
UGGGGGGGGGCUGAGACCCCUGGGGGGUGGAUUUGUACCCGAGGGGGGGCGUGGGACCCUUUGGGGGGGGGUUGGGACCCCUGGCAGUGAGGGGGACCCCGUGGGGGGGGGUUGGGACCGCAUAAAUUGCCUGGGGGACACCCUGGGGGGGGGCUGCGGGUCCCUUUGUGCCUGGGGGGGGCUUUGGGACCCCCCCGUGUACUUUGGGACCCCCCCUGGUGUUAUGCGGACUCCCCCUGGGUAUUAUGGGGACCCCCCUCGUACAAUGCGCCCCCCCCUUUGUAAUAUGGGCACCCCCCUGGGUGUUCUGGGAACCUCCUUGUACUGUGGGGGCCCCCCCUUUAAUAUGGGGACGCCCUGCGUGUUAAGGGCCCCCCCAGGCCUUAUGUGGGCUCUGAGACCCCCCCCCUGCAAAUUACAUGGUGGGGGCAAGCGUAGUGAGGGGGCAGCUCCCCCUUGCCCCCCCCCAACCCCCUCCCCCUCCCCUCCCCCCCUCUCCAAACCCUUCUGGGGCUGCGCUGGGGGCGCCGCGGGACCCCCACGGUUACCGGAGGGGGGGGGGGAUUCGCACGCCCCCCAGACCGCCUGGGCUCCACCCAGUGCCGCCGCUGCCUCAUCACCUUCCCCGACGCCGCCUUCGCCGCCCGGCACGCCAAGCGCGAGCACCCGCGGGACUUCGUGGCGGCGGCGCUGCGCGGGGCCCAGUUCGUCUGCUUCGUCUGCGCCCGCCCCUUCGCCUCCUCCCGCGCCCUCCUCCGCCACCAGCGGGGCCACGGCGGCUCCCCCCCGGGGGGGUCCCGGCCCCCCCCCACCGAUCCUCGGCCGUCUUCCUCUUCUCCUCCUCCUCCUCCUCCUCCUCCCGGCGCGGCCCCCCCCGCCUACGCCUGCACCGAGUGCGGCCGCGCCUUCGCUCGCGAGGGGGCCCUGCACCGGCACUACAUCCGGCACGCGCGGGGGGAGCUCUGAGGAUCAACCCCCCCCAAAACCCUUCUGGGGGGGGGGAAGGGGGUGUGGGGGGGAUCAAAGGGGGUCCGGGGGGUCCCAAAGGGGUCCUUGGGGGCUCGAAGGCGUCCUGGGGGGGGCCAAGAGGGUCCUGAGGGUCCCAAAGGGAUCCCUGGGGGGCCAAAAGGGUCCUGGGGGGGUUCCAAGGGGGUCCUGGGGGGCUCAAAGGGGUCCUGGGGGGGUCCAAGGGGAUCCUGGGGGGCCCAGGAGGGCCCCGAGGGUCCUGGGGGGGUCCCAAGGUCCCCAAAGGGCUCCUGGGGGGCCUCCGGGCAGGGGGCGGGGGCUCCCGGGAAGGGGCGGGGCCUGUGGCGGGCUCGGCACCAAUAAAAGGGCGGCUCCUGAUUGGCUCCCGGCGUCACUUCCUGGUUCGGGCGCAGGGCAUGCUGGGAGAUGUAGUGCUGGAGGGUGGUAGCGGCGCAGCUGUGACAUCAUGGCGGCCAGGCUGACGUCAUUGCCCUGAUGAAUGACGUCAUAACAGUGACACGGACAGGGCGGUGCUGCCUUCGGAGGUGACGUCACGGCGACAUCAGGGCCCCCCCCGUGACAUCACCGCCCCACUGUGUGACGUCACCACCCCCCUACAGCCCCUCUGUGGCCCUGCCCCUGUGACGUCACUGCCAGUGUGACGUCACACACACCCCCCCUGUAACGGCAUCAGCCAGCUCCCGACCUGUGACGUCACCGUGAUGUCACAGCCAACGGCAACACCCCCACCCCCAUGACAUCACCCCCAACCCGUGACGUCACCACCCCAAGCAAUGCCGGCACCCCAACCUAUGACAUCACCCCAACUCGUGACGUCACCCCACCCCAUGACGUCACCCCACCUAUGACGUCACAGCCCCGUGCCUGGCGCAGCCGCUCGCCGUUUAUUCCCCAGCAGCGGGGGCAGGACCGUGAGGAAGAGGGAGGGGGGGGG